AUAGAUUUGGCAGUAUACAGUUCUGUACGUUUCAUGUUAUUUUUACAUUUGUUUUUAAAAUUUAAGAGAUGAGGUCUCACCAUGCUGCCCCAGGCUGGUCUCCAUCUGGGCUCAAGUGAUCCUCCCACCUUGGCCUCCCAAGGUGCUGGGAUUACCUGUGCGAGCCACUGUAUUUUUUCACUCUCUUACUGUAAUUCUGUUGCGCAGUCAGGAUUGGAGACUUAGUGAUCUGGUUAGCAAGUUCUCUCGCCAGAGAAGAGUUAACUUAUUUUUAGUAUUCAGAGUGUAGUUCAGUAAGUCACACAUAAAAAUCAAUUUGUUAUUUGUAAUCACUCCACUUAAAUGUGUAAUGGGAAAGGUUCCAUUGUCCUCCUCGCAGGGUGAGUGUAAACGAAUGCGAAACUGUCUCUCUUCCUGCCUCUCUUCCAAAACCCUGCCAUCUCUUUCCUGCGGCUGAGAGGCUCUGCUUCCCUUCAUGCAGUUUUAAACCACCCUAACUGCCGAUCAAAACCCCCAGACCUUGUCUCUUCUCUCUCUUACAUGAGAGAGGUUUGAAUGGCUCUUAUCUCUUUCCUUACAAUGUUAAGAGUUUUCCUCUAGGCAUUGGCAAUAUUACUAAGUAAAAUGAGCAUUAGGCUCAGCUGCCAAAGAUGCACAUCAGACCAGAUGUUCCUAGAGGUGCCAUGUAUGUGUCUCUAAAGCUCGACAGACACAGGCACUCAUGGCUCAGGGCACCUCCUGUUAUCCUUUCCUCUCCCAGCUUGGGUGGCUAUGCAUGCCUGCAGCAGGCAAGGUCUGAGCCCAACAGCCACGAUGGGGGAGGUGGGUGGUAGAAAGCCAUGGUGGUAGCUGAGACCCUACAGGGCCAAUGGAUGGGCACUUCUCGUCUGCCACACCAAUGGAACCCCUGCCCGAGGAAUUCAACCUGGUCUGAACUGGGAAAAGACAUAAGGAUUAGGGGGGGUCCACUUGCACUAAGCAAGGGGCUUUCUCCCCCCACCCCCCUGAAUUUUCCCCUUUUUGCCUCUUAAACUGUUUCUCUCUUUUUUUCCUUUUCUGAGUGAGAAGGGUCCCCCUCCCAACUCUGUUUCUGAUAGGGAAGUUAACGAAGGAACGGCCCCUGCUGGCUGAGAACUGCAGAUUUGAGAGGGCACAUUUGAGACACUCUACACAGAUACAAACAGCCUCUAAAAUGCUUUUUCAGUCCCAAACUUGAUUCCAAGCUUCAGGCAGAGGCCCUAGAAAGAAAAACCAGGUCUGAGGGUUCCGAGGCCAGGCAACAGGCACAAUGUAAAUAGGAAGGACCAAGUCCUGCCAACCAAAUCCUCCACCUCACGGAAGGACGCCAUGCUUCAUGGUGUAAACAGGCCCAGGGAACUCAGUUUGCCGACAGCAGGGAGAAAUGGAGGCGUAGGUGAGGGCAGUUAAUUCCUAUUCUCCAGGUUUUCUUUGCUUCAUGGGUAUGUACUGCAGUGGUACCUAUGGCUGGCCCAGGGAUAAGAAGUGGAGAGUGAAAGGAGGCCACUCGCUUUCUCUGUCACAGCCUGAGUUUUCGCUGAAAGAAGGAAGGGAAUGAGGGACGCCUCUAUUCCCUGUCUUUCAGAAUGGGCAACCAGUUCUCUUCACCACUCCCAGCUUAUACUCCUCUGGAGUGUGUCCUAAACCAUUGGGACUGCAUUGACUCUCAGAAUCUGGAGGAAAAAUGCGUCGUAGCCCUCUGCACAAAGGUUUAGCCAAAUUACGAUUUACAGAAAGGACUGGCUUGGCUUCAGAAAGAAACCAUUUAUUUUGAUACCAUUUGGCAAAUCUGUAGACAUUGAGGACAGAUGGGCUGAGGCCCCAUAUGUGCAGGCUUUGUAUACCUUGCAAGGCAAUCCAGACCUUUGCCGACAAUAUAGGAUUGAUCCAGCCCUCCUGUUUGCUGUCUCAGGGAAGGUCCCAGCAGAGGAACCAGCUCCCUCUAGCCCUGCCCCUAUGGUCCACCCCAACUUCCCUAUCUAGCUUCAGCCUCUCACUUGCUCCCUCCUAAAAAUUCUUGCUCUCAACAAGGCCCAGUCUCACUCUUUCCCUUCCAGCAGAUGCCCUUUGAAUUUGGGCCCAGUAAGGCCCAGUUACCCUUCUCCCUACAGGACUUAAAGCAAAUUAAGGAGGAUCUUGGCAAGUUUUCAGAUGACCCUGAUAAGAUAUAUAGAGGCUUUUCAGAAUUUCACUAAAAUAUUUGAACUCUCCUGGAGAGAGGUUAUGUUACUUUUGAAUUAAGACCUUGACGAACACUGAGAAGCAGGCUGCUCUGCAAGCAGCAGAGAGAUUUGGGGAUGAGCUUUACGUCACAUACAGCAUCAGGGAAGGGGGCAAACAUUAUCCAACUGGAAGAGCAGUACUAAUGGAUGACCUUAAAUGGGAUCCCAGUGACGAGGUGGAAGACGGGAAGCGGAGACACUUUCAGGUGUGCAUAAUGGAAGGCUUACCUAGAACUAGGACCGGGCCUCUCAAUUAUACUAAGUUGUCCAUGAUUGACCAGGGAUUUGGAGAAAAUCCCACUGCCUCCCUGGAAAGGCUAAGAGAGGCCUUAGUAAAGCACACCUCCCUAUCUCCUGAUUCAGCCAAGGGACAGCUAAUCCUAAAGGAUAAAUAUAUUACUCAGGCAGCCCCUGAUAUCAGGAGGAAGUUGCAAAAACUGGCCCUGGGACCAGAAAUUACAUUAGAGGACCUCUGGAAAGUGGCUACCUCAGUCUCUUAUAAAAAAGAGAGAAGAUGCAGGUAUUCCCAGGGUGCACCUCUUAACUGCUAAAGAUAGGGCAAGAACAGUUAUCUCUCCCGCC
Molecule: long non-coding RNA, 2822 nt
Filed under: Homo sapiens (human)
Lineage: Eukaryota; Metazoa; Chordata; Mammalia; Primates; Hominidae
Description: HSALNT0332759
Source: RNAcentral